GUAGGGAAUAUUGCACAAUGGGCGAAAGCCUGAUGCAGCAACGCCGCGUGCGCGAAGAAGGCCUUCGGGUCGUAAAGCGCUUUUUGGGGAGAUGAGAAAGGACAGUAUCCCCAGAAUAAGGCUCGGCUAACUACGUGCCAGCAGCCGCGGUAAAACGUAGGAGCCAAGCGUUAUCCGAAUUCACUGGGCGUAAAGCGCGUGCAGGCGGCUCGAUAAGUUGGAUGUGAAAGCUCCCGGCUCAACUGGGAGAGGCCGUUCAAUACUGUCGGGCUAGAGGGCGGCAGAGGGAGGUGGAAUUCCCGGUGUAGUGGUGAAAUGCGUAGAUAUCGGGAGGAACACCAGUGGCGAAGGCGGCCUUCUGGGCCGUACCUGACGCUCAGACGCGACAGCUAGGGGAGCGAACGGGAUUAGAAACCCGGGUAGUCC
RNAcentral lists this ribosomal RNA (426 nucleotides) under uncultured bacterium. Its description in RNAcentral is "bacterial SSU rRNA". It matches the Rfam family "Bacterial small subunit ribosomal RNA", at positions 354 to 796 of the family's 1533-position model. The record is from RNAcentral.